AACGAACGCUGGCGGCAUGCCUAACACAUGCAAGUCGAACGAGACCUUCGGGUCUAGUGGCGCACGGGUGCGUAACGCGUGGGAACCUGCCCUUAGGUUCGGAAUAACUCCCCGAAAGGGGUGCUAAUACCGGAUAAUGUCUUCGGACCAAAGAUUUAUCGCCUUUGGAUGGGCCCGCGUUGGAUUAGCCAGUUGGUAGGGUAAAAGCAUACCAAGGCGAGGAUGCAUAGCUGGUUUGAGAGGAGGAUCAGCCACACUGGGACUGAGACACGGCCCAGACUCGUACGGGAGGCAGCAGUGGGGAAUAUUGGAGAAUGGGCGAAAGCCUGAUACAGCAAUGCCGCGUGAGUGAUGAAGGCCUUAGGGUUGUAAAGCUCUUUUACCCGGGAUGAUAAUGACAGUACCGGGAGAAUAAGCACCGGCUAACUCCGUG
This 433-nucleotide ribosomal RNA is filed under the name uncultured bacterium. RNAcentral describes it as "partial 16S ribosomal RNA". It matches the Rfam family "Bacterial small subunit ribosomal RNA", at positions 29 to 507 of the family's 1533-position model. The record is from RNAcentral.